Molecule: long non-coding RNA, 2505 nt
Filed under: Durio zibethinus
Lineage: Eukaryota; Viridiplantae; Streptophyta; Magnoliopsida; Malvales; Malvaceae
Description: long non-coding RNA (DZIB_LNC000333)
Source: RNAcentral
UUUUUUUUUUUUUUGGUUGCCAUCUACAUGCUUUUCAUUCACAGCAAACAACAUUUUCUCUUUCACAAAAUGUAUUGGACUAAGUUGUAAUAAUGUCAAAAUUUUCAGGGCUUCUCUGGUGGAAAUUACCCAAUAAUAGCACAAUCUCCAUUUCUUCAAGAGCAAAUCUGGAGAAGAGAAAGCAAAGGCACAGGAGUUUUUAUCCCAAAGUCAUCACAGCCAAGAAGGAAGCAUAGGCACAGAAGAAACAGUUCAUUCAGCUCAAAGUAUUACAGGCAGCAUAACAACAGUACAAAAAUGGCUUCUCAAGCAUCUAGCAAAGAGGCUAAAGGAUUUACAUCUUUGUCAACUGUAUAACUUUACUAAAAGAAACUACUAAUAAUCCCCUUUGUCAACGGCUGUUGAAGGCAAGGCAGGUCAUUAGAAAUAAUUGAUCCUGCUCCUAAUUAGUGGGUCUUGAAGAGGUUCACCAAAGGGUCUGCCUCCCUAAAUCAUGGAAACAUGUAUGGUGAUUGCUGUAUAUGUGUGAUAUCGGAAAAAUAUGUACUUGUUCAUUUAAUGUAAUUAAUUUAUAUAUUAAUUAAUUUUUAUUGUUAUUAGAGAAAAAAAUUCUUUUCUUUUCUCAUUUGCCUAUCCCUUAAGCUGUCGACAAAGACAAGCAUUUUCUCGAGGCACAAACUUGACAUCAGCAUAUGAUGAAAAUUCCAUGAAGAAAGUACUUGCUAAAUUUGAUGAGCAGAAGAAAGAUUGCUCUGCUAUCAACCUUAAAGCAAUUUCGCAAUGAUCAGAUCCAACUUCAAUAUCAGCUUUGAUCAAUUCAUCACCCCGUAGAUUCUAGAGAUAAUUGGAAAACUGGAAGACAAUCAAAAUAUGUUCUUAUUCAUUAUCGGGACUGUUCAAGGCCUUAUCAGUAAAGCGCUGUAUGAGUGUUUUCCAUUUCCAUUGUCCCAAUCCUUUCCAUUUCCAAUUUUCAUGUUGCUUUCAUUUUCCUGUUCCCAUACCGGCAAAACUCCACAUGCCACAAGAUCUUUCAUUUCUUUGACAGGUACUGCAUAUUAUAUAUAUAUAUAUAUAUAUAUAUAUAAACUAAAUACUACUUAAAACCAAAAAAAAUAUGAUGAGACGGAUAAUCUUUCUCUCCCAAACAAUCAUGAGGUCAUGGCCUUGAAAAUCAAGGCGUCCCUCAUGUCAUAGAUCAGGAAAAAAAAAAGAUCAAAGAUGAUGAGAAAGUUUAAACAUUUUUUAUGUUCUGAUCGAAUCUAGUACUUCCCCGACAACUUGUAUAGAUCUACAUAUGAGGGACUCCAAACAUUCUAUAUGAAUUAUUGAAGGAAAAUAAUGGAUCUUAUUGUGUGGGCUCCCACUCAUUAGUUCACCAUAUCUGAAACAGCCCAUGUGGAGAUAAGAGCUUUGAACCUUUUCUUAAAAUGAAAAGACCAAUCGGCACAUGCAAACUACUCAAUUUGAAAAUAAUCGAAAAUGAUGCAGCAUUUGAACUGUGUCUCGAGAUAAAGCUCUCUGCAUCCUCGCCGUGGCUCACGUUUUCAAUUCAAAAAAUAUAUUAUCAAGUGGAAAAAACUUUAUGAUUUAUAAGUUGAAGAUCAUUUUAUCUGUUUUUAGAAUGGGAUUUGUUACAAUUUUCUCCAUUUUACAUUGAUUAUUUCACCCGCAAAACAAGAAUCCAUCUUGAUGCGAGCUUAUCUAGAUACUGAUAUCUAUCCAACCAAAACCACAUUAACUCUUUCACCCGCAAACAAAAAAAUCCACCUUAAUUUGAAGCCAACAGUAUUAGUUGUCUAAGACCGUUGAUUCUAAAGCAGUAAGUCCUCAUUGUAACUGAUAUGGGAUUGGUGGCGGCUGCAAGGAAGCUGUAACUUCAAGACUUCAGGUCAAAUCAUUUUGAAAGUAGAGACAUGAAACCACUAUCGAAAAUUCUUUCAAACUAGUAUUGAUGCCUUGGGAGGACACUUUAGUCAUGCUAUGAGAUUCUUUUUUUUUUUUUUUAAUGUUGGACCUUGGAUCAAUAUUGAGGGAUUUCAAGUCCCUGUUAAGCAUUAAGACAUCAAUUUUAUUAAUUUGGUGAAACAAUAAUUUUUUAAAAGAAAAUCUGAAUACAAACUAAUAAAGUAAGUCAUGAUUGGAAGAUCCAAACGAAAAAUGACAGAUGAAUAGAUUUGGAAUCUACCAAGGAACAGUAAUAAACAGCAAAUCUUGCCACUUGAAACAGGAUGACAAGGAGAAGAUUUCUAACCUUUUCUCUUUUUCAUUGAAAUAUUUACCGUGCAACUUGUGACCCAAAGAUUGAAUCUGCUAGGUGGUAGUUAUGGGGGUUUAAUGGAAGAGCAAAUAUAAUCACUUUGAUUCUAGUUUUUUGUCCAGUAUAAGAAAAUCUUACGAGCUUCAAAAUCUAGAUUCAAACUCCAUUAGUUGAGAGAGUUUGAUCUUAUCUUCUAACUUAUUGAUCAAGAAUGUGAGCACUCAGGACAAGGAGUGAUUAGUUCAUUG